RNAcentral lists this ribosomal RNA (253 nucleotides) under uncultured bacterium. Its description in RNAcentral is "partial 16S ribosomal RNA". It matches the Rfam family "Bacterial small subunit ribosomal RNA", at positions 524 to 776 of the family's 1533-position model. The record is from RNAcentral.
GACAUAGGUGGCAAACGUUAUCCGGAAUUAUUGGGCGUAAAGAGCGCGCAGGCGGUCGUUUAAGUCGAGUGUGAAAGCCCCCGGCUCAACUGGGGAGGGUCACUCGAUACUGAUCGACUUGAAGGCAGGAGAGGGAAGCGGAAUUCCCGGUGUAGUGGUGAAAUGCGUAGAUAUCAGGAGGAACACCAGUGGCGAAGGCGGUGGUCUGGGCCGGAACUGACGCUGAGGAGCGAAAGCGUGGGUAGCAAACAGG